CAGUACGGUCGGAAAUCGUACGUAGAGUGUAAAGGCAAAAGAGAGCUUGAUUGCAAGACAUACAGGUCGAGCAAGGAUGAAAAUCGGACUUAGUGAUCCGGUGGUUCUGCGUGGAAGGGCCAUCGCUCAACGGAUAAAAGCUACCCUGGGGAUAACAGGCUUAUCUCCCCCAAGAGUCCACAUCGACGGGGAGGUUUGGCACCUCGAUGUCGGCUCAUCACAUCCUGGGGCUGUAGUAGGUCCCAAGGGUUGGGCUGUUCGCCCAUUAAAGUGGUACGCGAGCUGGGUUCAGAACGUCGUGAGACAGUUCGGUCCCUAUCCGUCGCAGGCGUAGGAAAUUUGAGAAGACCUGUCCUUAGUACGAGAGGACCGGGAUGGACGUACCUCUGGUGUACCAGUUGUCCUGCCAAGGGCAUGGCUGGGUAGCUAUGUACGGAAUGGAUAAGCGCUGAAAGCAUCUAAGCGCGAAGCCAACUUCAAGAUAAGAUUUCCCACCGCAAGGGUAAGACCCCAGAAAGACUAUCUGGUUGAUAGGUCGAAGGUGUAAGUGCAGUAAUGUAUUUAGCUUAUCGAUACUAAUAGGUCGAGGACUUGACCAAU
RNAcentral lists this ribosomal RNA (600 nucleotides) under Clostridioides difficile. RNAcentral's name for it is "partial 23S ribosomal RNA". It matches the Rfam family "Bacterial large subunit ribosomal RNA", at positions 2323 to 2925 of the family's 2925-position model. Lineage: Bacteria; Bacillati; Bacillota; Clostridia; Peptostreptococcales; Peptostreptococcaceae. The record is from RNAcentral.